Molecule: unclassified non-coding RNA, 200 nt
Filed under: Hevea brasiliensis (rubber tree)
Lineage: Eukaryota; Viridiplantae; Streptophyta; Magnoliopsida; Malpighiales; Euphorbiaceae
Source: RNAcentral
GGGGGUCACUACACCAAAAUCGCUACUAAACCAUUAAUGGCAAAUUGCAGGCUGUCUGCCAUUGUCAGUACAGAAUUUAGAGGAGUUCACUAAGCCAUGAAUGAAAAAUCACUUAUCUAAUUCACUUCUAAAAUUAAGAAGAAUCACGCAAAAUUUUCCAGAGCCUUGAAUUUGGAGAAUCAACCAAUCAGCUAACUAAG